Etheostoma cragini (Arkansas darter) is the source of this 1780-nucleotide long non-coding RNA. RefSeq lists it as uncharacterized. The record is from RefSeq and is a predicted model, not a curated record. The transcript is spliced from 3 exons. Lineage: Eukaryota; Metazoa; Chordata; Actinopteri; Perciformes; Percidae.
GUACAAAGGGUCAUGGUUAGCAUUGCUAAGCCUGUGUAAUUGUCUGACUUCCAUCAGUAACUAAAAAAGCCAAAUUUUCCUUUAAAAAAAAGAUAUAUAUAUAUAUAUAUUUAAUUGUUUAACUAGCUGUUUGUCAAAUUAAGAAUCUAAAUGACAUGUGGACAUACGGACAUUUUAGACACUAAGCAUGUUUGGUGUUUUCAUGCAAAUAUUUAAAAAAAAUUAAAAUCAAUAUGAUAAUAUCAUAAUGUUAAACAUUCAUUAGAUGUACUCCUAUCCUAAAUCCUGUCUCCUGUUUCCAGUAGCAGAAAUCAAUAAUGACAUAUUUUAUCUGAUAUACUAUCCUAUCAUAGGCUGUAGUCUGUGCCUUUGGUUGGCAGUUGGUGCAGAGUGCAGCAGCAGAAACCACAUCUCUGCAUCACUCGGAUGGAUUACCCUGGCUCCCUGUACAGUUCACUCUAUAAUUGUUUAAGUUACUUUUAAAGUCAGCUGUAGCUUUCGCUCUGUGAGAAUUGGUGGUCGUUUAAUACCUUUUAAUCUACGCCAAGGCCCCUCAAGUUUGGGAGGUAAAACAGUUGACAGCUUUAAAGCUUUAGAGCGUCUUUCUAUGAAUGAAGAGCCGUUACAUUUAAGCCAUUGCCAAAUGAGGCAAUGCAAAUCUAAUAAAGACCUUCAGCUCCACAAAACUCUCUCUGCAUUUCUCAGUAUGGCUAUGUUUACAGAAUGAUGCCAUCCGGUGACUUUCGCACGCAGAAAAUCUAAUUCAUUACUUAGAAUUCCUCAUGGGGGCGACACAAACUACACACUAUAGCUCUAAACUACAGACUGUUACAUUUGCUUGGCUUGAAUUAUUUUCAGGCUAGACAUACAGUAUUUCGGUUGUAUUAAAUAUUUGAAUCACAUUUAUUACUGCUUCUUUAACACCAUAUUCUCACAUACUAAAGAUCAGAGUACAUUUCCUUGUUCAUCUCACUUGAACCUCAGAUUCCUACCGUGAUUUAAAUCUCUGGGGAUGCAGCAAUGGGGUUUAAGACGACACAGGUUUAAACCCGUCCUGCUGAACCUUAAACUGCAGCUAAGCUAAUGAAAUACCAACAGUGAGCAACACUGACCAUAAACAGGACUUUGGUUUGCUCACAAGAAAGCUCCACAGGGUACCGUUAAUCUUUCACUUCUUAAAAAAUAGAACUACUUGCACUCCUGUGCCAAAUCUUGUUUGCGUUCAAGAAGAAGCUGCUGUAUUCAAAAUAGAAACAUGAAGCCAUAUUGCAUGGAUUGAUGUUUACAUAUCAGUGACAUACUAUACUGAUAGCCAUAGUUUACAGUACUCAAGCGCUCAGCUGAAUGCAGCCCACAUGCUCUAAUCGAGGGUUUCUUUCCUGUACAUUGUGCCCAGCGUGGUUGGGUUUUGUAUAUGAUGAGGUAGAUGAGUGAACUGUCAGAAAUGCCAAUACUGUUUCUUAUUGAUACAUUCCUGAAUGUCCCUCAGACUGUGCAACCUGUUUUUUUUCUAUCCUCCUACUCCUCAGUGCAACCUGUGCUUGGUCAUACAAUGAAAGAGUUAUGUCAUUGAAAAGUAGCGCAACAGGCCUUGAUUGACUGUUUCCUGGCAACGUGAAAAGAUGAAACAGCAGAGGACAUAAGCGAGUAUGUGAGACCUUAGGCCUCCUGUAGGCGGCAUCAGUUUCUGUAGCUGUAAAGAAGCUGGUGGACAGGAAGUGUGUCCCAUGGGCCACUUUUAACCCCGACAAACCGCAGCAACACGAUUUUUUUUUAAACA